UUAUGUUAGCAAAUGUGACGUAAACAACGUCGACAGAGAAUCGAUAUAUAUUCAGUUGCCAGCCCAAUGUGGUCACUAAUCGCGGAGAGAACUUUCAUGCAAUUAGUGUCUCGUUAAUUGAGUCAGCGUGCUCCUCCUUUCGGAUCAAAGUUUACACAUUUCUGGCGGAAAUGGCGAAGUUCUGUUUGGUUUUGUUCCUGGCCUGUGCGCUCAUGCUGGUUGCAGCACAGAGGGGGUGUCCGCCAAUUGGACCUGGUACUGUAGGCGUCUGUGGUGGAACUUUCUGCUCUUCUAACAGAGACUGUAGCGGUGGCAUCUGCUGUCCCAGUGCUUGCGGAGGGAAGCUCUGCACUCCACGACAAGGAUAACUGGAAUACCGAGAUGAAACCAGUCCCAAAGAUUCAAUACAACCGUUGAAUGUGGGUGCAGUCCAUGCCAACAGAAGUAUGCAAAAUGUCAUCAGUGUGUUGAAUACAGUAUCCAGUGAAAAUUCCAAUGAAACUUUUUCUCUAAUCUGAUUCUUUAAUCUUAAGAAUUCUGCAUUAUAACUGAAUUGCUGAAUAAAUAAUACAAGUAAUACUGGUA
This is a long non-coding RNA of Cryptotermes secundus, 585 nucleotides long. RefSeq lists it as uncharacterized. NCBI's taxonomy places the organism in Eukaryota, Metazoa, Arthropoda, Insecta, Blattodea, Kalotermitidae. The record is from RefSeq and is a predicted model, not a curated record. The transcript is spliced from 3 exons.